AUAUGGCUUAAGAUGUCUGUGGACUCUGAAAACUCAUGUGUUCUGCUGUCAUCACGUGACUCCAGGACUUCCUGCAUCUUUCAGACAGCAGACGAGAAGGAAGAGCUCCCAGGAGUGGGAGAGGAGAGCGUUCUGGAGAUGCUGAGUUACUCCAAGUUCUCAGACCUGGAGACAUGGCUGUGCAUGCCGUCCUCUCUGCUUCUGUCCAGACCGCUGGACUCCAUCCUCAUGUGCUCAUCUUCCUCCACCCUGUCCUCUUCACUUGCAUCCAACCUCUCCUCUACCUCGCUUCCCAUGUCCUCCUCUUCCUCUCCGACCCUCGACUCCCGCUUCUCCACCUGCAGCGAACCGGGAGAGCUCGGCACACUCCUCAGGUCAUCAGAGCAAGAGUCCACCUGCCUCACACCCGCUUUAGGAAAGGAGGUGACCUUUCUGUCCACACCGCUGCUGCCCGUUCUCUCCUCCACACCUGCUGCUGCUUCAGAGCCAAGCUCACAGCCGCCAACAGGAGACUCCGCCUCCCACAGUGGCGUCAGCAUCAGGAAACGACGGCGGCUUGCUGCCAGCCCUGGAGGACUCCACUGGAACUCUACAGGUUCAGUGCUGCGGGACUUCUGGUCACCUGAUCUGCCUCCAGGGAUGGCAGCCGGAGGUGGAGCCAGAGAACCAGGUGGAGGGGGAAGGAGCCUCCCUCUGAGCGAGAUGGGCAGAGGAACACCUGUGUGGGCAACAGGUGAACGGGUGGCUCUGAGGAAGACUGUGUCUGCUGACGAUGAGCUGCUGCGGCUGGCUGGUGGAGGUCCAAGACUGCUGAACCGAGCCGAGCAGAACCGAAAGAAGCUGCGCGGCAUCCAUAGCCUGGGAACAACAGGAAGAUACGACAGCAGAAAAAAGUCGGACAGUAAGAUCUCCCGAUUGGCUCAGAGGUGGAACCAGAAGUCGGUAGGAGAUGCGCUGAUCCAAGACCUGAAGCCCCUGUACCACACAGGAACCUCUCGAUCCUCGCUCAGCCUGGACAGGUUAGCAAACACACCCAUCUUAUACACACACUUACACCUGUCACACUCACUGCAAACUUCUGUUGGCAACUGA
RNAcentral lists this long non-coding RNA (1092 nucleotides) under Nothobranchius furzeri (turquoise killifish). RNAcentral describes it as "lncRNA (ENSNFUG00015006433.1)". Lineage: Eukaryota; Metazoa; Chordata; Actinopteri; Cyprinodontiformes; Nothobranchiidae. The record is from RNAcentral.